UCAGAUGGCUGGAUGGCCGCUUUCGGCGGGCUGGUUCCGCUGGGGGAGGAAAGUCCGGGCUCCACGGAAACACGGUGCCGGGUAACGCCCGGCGGGGGUGACCCUAGGGAAAGUGCCACAGAAAGCAAACCGCCGGCGUCGCCCGAGUCCUCGGACGCGGGUGCCGGCAAGGGUGAAAGGGCGCGGUAAGAGCGCACCGCGCUCCCGGCAACGGGAGCGGCAUGGCAAACCCCACCGGGAGCAAGACCAAAUAGGGACGGCGAGCCGCCUUUCUCCGCACGCGGGGGAAGCGGCAGGCGGGUUUUUGAGCCGCCGUCCGGGUCGGUCGCGGGAGGCGCCCGGUAACGGGCGUCCCAGAUGAAUGGCCAUCCAUCGCCCGGGUUCGCCCGGGCGGGGACAGAACCCGGCUUACAGGCCGUCUGACGCG
RNAcentral lists this RNase P RNA (427 nucleotides) under Alphaproteobacteria bacterium. RNAcentral's name for it is "RNase P RNA component class A". It matches the Rfam family "Bacterial RNase P class A". Rfam says of the family: Ribonuclease P (RNase P) is a ubiquitous endoribonuclease, found in archaea, bacteria and eukarya as well as chloroplasts and mitochondria. Its best characterised activity is the generation of mature 5'-ends of tRNAs by cleaving the 5'-leader elements of precursor-tRNAs. Lineage: Bacteria; Pseudomonadati; Pseudomonadota; Alphaproteobacteria. The record is from RNAcentral.